GAUCAUGGCUCAGGAUGAACGCUAGCGGCAGGCUUAAUACAUGCAAGUCGAGGGGCAGCGGGAGUAGCAAUACUUGCCGGCGACCGGCGCACGGGUGCGUAACACGUAUGUAAUCUGCCCAUCACAGGAGGAUAGCCCGGAGAAAUUCGGAUUAAUACUCCAUAAUAGAAGAUAAAGCAUUUUAUUUUCUUGAAAGUUCCGACGGUGAUGGAUGAACAUGCGACUGAUUAGUUUGUUGGUGAGGUAACGGCUCACCAAGACUACGAUCAGUAGGGGUACUGAGAGGUUAAACCCCCACACUGGUACUGAGACACGGACCAGACUCCUACGGGAGGCAGCAGUAAGGAAUAUUGGACAAUGGCCGCGAAGGCUGAUCCAGCCAUGCCGCGUGCAGGAAGACGGACCUAUGGUUUGUAACUGUCUUUGGAACGGGAACGAAACCCCCUACGUGUAGGGGGCUGAUAGUACUGUUAGAAUAAGCAUCGGCUAACUUCGUG
Molecule: ribosomal RNA, 497 nt
Filed under: uncultured bacterium
Lineage: Bacteria
Description: bacterial SSU rRNA
Rfam family: Bacterial small subunit ribosomal RNA
Source: RNAcentral